This 342-nucleotide unclassified non-coding RNA is filed under the name soil metagenome. RNAcentral describes it as "partial contains 5.8S ribosomal RNA, internal transcribed spacer 2, and large subunit ribosomal RNA". The stretch from base 1 to 119 matches the Rfam family "5.8S ribosomal RNA", at positions 35 to 154 of the family's 154-position model. The record is from RNAcentral.
GAUGAAGACGUAGCGAAAUGCGAUACGUAAUGUGAAUUGCAGAAUUCAGUGAAUCAUCGAAUCUUUGAACGCACAUUGCGCCCGCCAGCAUUCUGGCGGGCAUGCCUGUUCGAGCGUCAUUUCAACCCUCGACUUCCCUUUGGGGAAGUCGGCGUUGGGGACCGGCCGUAUACCGCCGGCCCCGAAAUGAAGUGGCGGCCCGUCCGCGGCGACCUCUGCGUAGUAAUCCAACUCGCACCGGAACCCCGACGUGGCCACGCCGUAAAACCCCCGACUUCUGAACGUUGACCUCGGAUCAGGUAGGAAUACCCGCUGAACUUAAGCAUAUCAAUAAGCGGAGGA